This 494-nucleotide ribosomal RNA is filed under the name uncultured bacterium. RNAcentral's name for it is "partial 16S ribosomal RNA". It matches the Rfam family "Bacterial small subunit ribosomal RNA", at positions 28 to 507 of the family's 1533-position model. The record is from RNAcentral.
GACGAACGCUGGCGGCGUGCUUAACACAUGCAAGUCGAACGGUGAAGCGCCUUCCUUUUUGGUGGGUGUGGAUGAGUGGCGAACGGGUGAGUAACACGUGAGUAACCUGCCCCCUUCUUCUGGAUAACCGCAUGAAAGGGUGGCUAAUACGGGAUAUUCUGGGUCUGUCGCAUGAUGGGUCUGGGAAAGAUAUUGUUUCGGUGGGGGAUGGGCUCGCGGCCUAUCAGCUUGUUGGUGGGGUGAUGGCCUACCAAGGCGGUGACGGGUAGCCGGCCUGAGAGGGUGGACGGUCACACUGGGACUGAGACACGGCCCAGACUCCUACGGGAGGCAGCAGUGAGGAAUAUUGCACAAUGGGGGCAAGCCUGAUGCAGCGACGCCGCGUGAGGGAUGGAGGCCUGCGGGUUGUGAACCUCUUUCGCCAGUGAAGCAGGCCUGCCUCGUUUGUGGGUGGGUUGACGGUAGCUGGAGAAGAAGCGCCGGCUAACUACGUG